This 620-nucleotide ribosomal RNA is filed under the name soil fungal sp. DM2-119. RNAcentral's name for it is "eukaryotic LSU rRNA". It matches the Rfam family "Eukaryotic large subunit ribosomal RNA", at positions 156 to 804 of the family's 3401-position model. Lineage: Eukaryota; Fungi. The record is from RNAcentral.
AGGAAGCUUUAGGCGCGGCACCUUCUGAGUCCCCUGGAACGGGGCGCCAUAAAGGGUGAGAGCCCCGUAUAGUUGGAUGCCUAGCCUGUGUAAAGCUCCUUCGACGAGUCGAGUAGUUUGGGAAUGCUGCUCAAAAUGGGAGGUAAAUUUCUUCUAAAGCUAAAUACCGGCCAGAGACCGAUAGCGCACAAGUAGAGUGAUCGAAAGAUGAAAAGCACUUUGAAAAGAGGGUUAAAUAGCACGUGAAAUUGUUGAAAGGGAAGCGCUUGUGACCAGACUUGCGCCGGGCUGAUCAUCCGGUGUUCUCACCGGUGCACUCUGCCCGGCUCAGGCCAGCAUCGGCUCUCGCGGGGGGAUAAAGGCCCCGGGAACGUAGCUCCUCCGGGAGUGUUAUAGCCCGGGGUGUAAUGCCCUCGCGGGGACCGAGGUUCGCGCAUCUGCAAGGAUGCUGGCGUAAUGGUCACCAGCGACCCGUCUUGAAACACGGACCAAGGAGUCAAGGUUUUGCGCGAGUGUUUGGGUGUAAAACCCGCACGCGUAAUGAAAGUGAACGUANGUGAGAGCUUCNGCGCAUCAUCGACCGAUCCUGAUGUUUUCGGAUGGAUUUGAGUAGGAGCGUU